AUUCAAUCACUUUGAGCAUUCUCUGUAUCUCUGAAUACAAAUCCAGUCAUUCCUAACCACAGCCAGAUAAGGUAUGUCACCGGCUGAACCAAGACCUGGGACAGGGCGGGAUGGAGACCUCACUGCACUUUCAGAAAUGGAGUUUGCAAGUAUGCUGAUAAUGAAUGAUCAGAAGAAUAAAGCUACUUUGAGCCCUAGCCCAAGAAGAUCUUAGCACACACAUCAGGAGAAAAGGCACAGCUCCAUUUUCUGGCCAGGAGAAAUACAAGCUUUCCCUUCUGCUGCCCUCAGCCACCACUUUUGGAAGAAUUAUCCUGGUUACAUCCUUCCGCACAAGCCUUUGAGCCUGUUACCCAAGACCACCUAGGUUUCAUCGAUGGGGAAGACACGGGAAGGGGUUCAAGCACUCCAAGGAAAAAAGAAUGUCAAAAUCUCCAUUGUCCUCCCUCAGACAAAGCAAGUUGUGUGACAGAACCCAGCGAAACCACAGUAGCCUUACUAAAGCCAUCUGGUUAGUUGGGUAGACAAAGCUGUAGGUUUGUGCUGUUGUCUGUUGAAUUGCGUCAUGUGAAAAACAUCCACCAAUACCCACAGAAAGAUGCAUAGUCAAAUAACCCCAGGAAAUAGAAAAAGAGACAGAUGGAGAAUUUGUCUGGCUAAUUUUCUCCCCUGUGGCUACUGCGAUGUUUCUGCUAGAAAGGAUGCAGAAGGAGGCAGAGUGAAUAAACGCAAACUGACUUUUUGAGACGCAUAGAUAACUGUAAUACUUCUUUAAGUCCACACAAAAAACACCAGUGAAAAGAAAUAGGAUUAGAAAAAGCCAUAAAAAAAGAUUUUAUAACUGAAACCAGCAAAAAAAGUAGAAUUUCAUUUUCAUCAUGGUGAAGUUCCUUGUUCAAUACUGCAAACAAGGAAUGCUUUCUGUCCUUACGUUAAUACCUUUGAAGAGACCUGUACACUCAAGGUGACAUAAGAAAGUAUUUUACCAAAAGGAGAGGACUUGCUUCCCUGGUGGCCAGUGAGAUGCUUUGUGUCUGUAGUCGCUCAGGGCAGAUGGUGUGUGCCCCACUGCCCAGUGGGUGCAGCAUGCCCUGCUUUCCUCUGCCUGACAUUCACCGAGGUGAUGUGGCAGCUGUUCGCUCCACUCCCCAAGGCAUGUUUUGAUCCGUCCUUUUUCCCUGCACCCCCCUUCCCCAUUCCCAGUCGAGGUUUCUGCCUUCUGUCACCUCUGGUGUUUUCCAAGGGGUGGAACUGCCAUUCAAAUCAUUUGCCUCUCCCCUGGUCGAGGCUGUGGGAUCCCCACGGCUGCUUUGGUCCCAUUGGGCAGCUGCAGCAAUGCAGCAUGGGUCAGUCCCAGAGCAACAAGAAGCCUGUGCAGGUUCUGUGCGUUUCUUGUUUGCUUUGUAACAUCUCUUUUUCCUCACUCACCACAUAGCCUUAAAAUCCUGUAUUUUUCUUAGCGUCUCUGGCUGCUUAGUCAAAUGUCAAAAAUACAACUGCUUCAGAGAACUGGUUUCCUUUUAUGUGCAAAAAGCAAAAGGCAUGGAAAGAGAAUUCUGUCUAUGUUAAGUAUUUUCUUUGCUUUUGUUCACAAAGGAAAGGAAUUAGGCUGUUAAAAUAAUAAUAAAACCUGAAACAC
Gallus gallus (chicken) is the source of this 1639-nucleotide long non-coding RNA. The record is from Ensembl. NCBI's taxonomy places the organism in Eukaryota, Metazoa, Chordata, Aves, Galliformes, Phasianidae.